This 253-nucleotide ribosomal RNA is filed under the name uncultured bacterium. RNAcentral's name for it is "partial 16S ribosomal RNA". It matches the Rfam family "Bacterial small subunit ribosomal RNA", at positions 524 to 776 of the family's 1533-position model. The record is from RNAcentral.
UACGAAGGGGGCUAGCGUUGCUCGGAAUUACUGGGCGUAAAGGGCGCGUAGGCGGCACUGUUAGUCAGGCGUGAAAUUCCUGGGCUCAACCUGGGGACUGCGCUUGAUACGGCAGAGCUAGAGGAUGGAAGAGGCUCGCGGAAUUCCCAGUGUAGAGGUGAAAUUCGUAGAUAUUCGCAAGAACACCAGUGGCGAAGGCGGCUCACUGGCCCGGUACUGACGCUGAGGUGCGAAAGCGUGGGGAGCAAACAGG